GACAGAGGGUGCAACCGUUGUUCGGAAUUACUGGGCGUAAAGCGUGUGUAGGCGGCCAUAUAAGUCGGAUGUGAAAGCCCCGAGCUUAACUUGGGAAUUGCGCUUGUGACUGGCGUGCUGGAGUGUGGCAGAGGGAGGUGGAAUUCCACGUGUAGCAGUGAAAUGCGUAGAGAUGUGGAGGAACACCGAUGGCGAAGGCAGCCUCCUGGGCCAGCACUGACGCUCAUGCACGAAAGCGUGGGGAGCAAACAGG
Molecule: ribosomal RNA, 253 nt
Filed under: uncultured bacterium
Lineage: Bacteria
Description: partial 16S ribosomal RNA
Rfam family: Bacterial small subunit ribosomal RNA
Source: RNAcentral